AUGGAUAUCAUUUACACUGGAUGCCCUUGGAAUCUGUUUACAUUUCGGCCAUCCUCAUACCUUUGUGUGUCUACUGGAGGCUGCCCCUGGGAUAGUGGAGGAACUUUGUGUUACACAGUGGAAUGCAAGUGCUUGGGAGUUGAUGACCUACUAGAUCAAGCUGUAGCCAAUGAUGGAAAAGCAGUGAUAAAAUUGCAAAUGUGCAUCAGCGUUCGCUCUCACACAUUAACCGAAUAUGGAGCCAGGAACAGCAGUAAAGUAAACAAAGAAUUGAACAAAACUGACUUGUGUGGGGGAGCAUUUGUGAUUCUGUCUCAACGUGUUUCUCUAAGCAGAUGA
This 339-nucleotide long non-coding RNA is filed under the name Sus scrofa (pig). Its description in RNAcentral is "lncRNA (ENSSSCG00025061326.1, ENSSSCG00035002150.1)". The record is from RNAcentral. Lineage: Eukaryota; Metazoa; Chordata; Mammalia; Artiodactyla; Suidae.